This 465-nucleotide ribosomal RNA is filed under the name uncultured bacterium. Its description in RNAcentral is "partial 16S ribosomal RNA". It matches the Rfam family "Bacterial small subunit ribosomal RNA", at positions 28 to 507 of the family's 1533-position model. The record is from RNAcentral.
GACGAACGCUGGCGGCGUGCUUAACACAUGCAAGUCGAACGGGAAGGCCCUGCUUGCAGGGUACUCGAGUGGCGAACGGGUGAGUAACACGUGGGUGAUCUGCCCUGCACUUCGGGAUAAGCCUGGGAAACUGGGUCUAAUACCGGAUAGGAGCCAUUUUUAGUGUGAUGGUUGGAAAGUUUUUUCGGUGUAGGAUGAGCUCGCGGCCUAUCAGCUUGUUGGUGGGGUAAUGGCCUACCAAGGCGGCGACGGGUAGCCGGCCUGAGAGGGUGGACGGCCACAUUGGGACUGAGAUACGGCCCAGACUCCUACGGGAGGCAGCAGUGGGGAAUAUUGCACAAUGGGCGCAAGCCUGAUGCAGCGACGCCGCGUGGGGGAUGACGGCCUUCGGGUUGUAAACUCCUUUCGCUAGGGACGAAGCUUUUUGUGACGGUACCUAGAUAAGAAGCACCGGCUAACUACGUG